GAUGAACGCUAGCUACAGGCUUAACACAUGCAAGUCGCAGGACUGGCGCACGGGUGAGUAACGCGUAUCCAACCUUCCCAUAACUACGAGAUAACCCGUUGAAAGACGGCCUAGUACCGUAUGGUUAUGGAUGGGGAUGCGUCUAAUUAGCUUGUUGUCGGGGUAACGGCCCACCCAGGCUACGAUCAGUAGGGGUUCUUAGAGGAAGGUCCCCCACAUGGGAACUGAGACAAGAUCCAAACUACUACGGGAGGGAGCAGUGAGAAAGAUUGGUAAAUGGGCGAUAGCCUGAACCAGCCAAGUAGCGUGCAAGAUGACGGCCUAUGGGUUAUAAACUGCUUGUAUGGGGGGAUAGGUACCAAAUGAAUAAGGACCGGCAAAUUCCGUGACAGCCGCCGCGGUAAUAC
Molecule: ribosomal RNA, 407 nt
Filed under: uncultured bacterium
Lineage: Bacteria
Description: partial 16S ribosomal RNA
Rfam family: Bacterial small subunit ribosomal RNA
Source: RNAcentral